UGGGGAAUAUUGCACAAUGGGCGCAAGCCUGAUGCAGCCAUGCCGCGUGUGUGAAGAAGGCCUCGGUUGUAAAGCACUUUCAGCGAGGAGGAAGGUGGUGAACUUAAUACGUUCAUCAAUUGACGUUACUCGCAGAAGAAGCACCGGCUAACUCCGUGCCAGCAGCCGCGGUAAUACGGAGGGUGCAAGCGUUAAUCGGAAUUACUGGGCGUAAAGCGCACGCAGGCGGUUUGUUAAGUCAGAUGUGAAAUCCCCGGGCUCAACCUGGGAACUGCAUUUGAAACUGGCAAGCUAGAGUCUCGUAGAGGGGGGCUAGAAUUCCAGGUGUAGCGGUGAAAUGCGUAGAGAUCUGGAGGAAUACCGGUGGCGAAGGCGGCCCCCCUGGACGAAGACUGACGCUCAGGUGCGAAAGGCGUGGGGCAGCAAACAGGAUUAGAUACCCUGGUAGUCCACGCUGUAAACGAUGUCGA
This 470-nucleotide ribosomal RNA is filed under the name uncultured bacterium. RNAcentral's name for it is "partial 16S ribosomal RNA". It matches the Rfam family "Bacterial small subunit ribosomal RNA", at positions 355 to 815 of the family's 1533-position model. The record is from RNAcentral.